This 373-nucleotide ribosomal RNA is filed under the name uncultured bacterium. RNAcentral's name for it is "bacterial SSU rRNA". It matches the Rfam family "Bacterial small subunit ribosomal RNA", at positions 523 to 898 of the family's 1533-position model. The record is from RNAcentral.
AUACGUAGGGGGCGAGCGUUGUCCGGAAUUACUGGGCGUAAAGGGUGCGUAGGCGGCCAAAUAAGUCAGAUGUGAAAGUCCAGGGCUUAACCGUGGAAUCGCAUUUGAAACUGUAUGGCUUGAGUGCAGGAGAGGAGAGUGGAAUUUCUAGUGUAGUGGUGAAAUGCGUAGAUAUUAGGAAGAACACCAGUGGCGAAGGCGGCUCUCUGGACUGUAACUGACGCUGAGGCACGAAAGCGUGGGGAGCGAACAGGAUUAGAUACCCUGGUAGUCCACGCCGUAAACGAUGAGUGCUAGGUGUCGGGAGUCAAAUCGCGGUGCCGGAGUAAACACAAUAAGCACUCCGCCUGGGGAGUACGGUCGCAAGACUUAA